Molecule: long non-coding RNA, 5122 nt
Organism: Mya arenaria
Lineage: Eukaryota; Metazoa; Mollusca; Bivalvia; Myida; Myidae
Exons: 4
Source: RefSeq, a predicted model, not a curated record
CAGCCAAGUUAGUAUUAUAGCUAAUUUUAGCUUAAAAGUAGGUGAAUUUUAUAUUUAUUUCAGACCAGAUACUCUUGAGGGACCAAUUUAAGGGCAAACAGACAAACGUUUUAAUGCAAAGAAAACAUUGGAUUUGAAAGUUCCUAUGGAGAAGAAAAAUGGAGAGAUUCUAAAAGUAUGAAGAUACUCCUGUGUAUAAUGAGGAAAUCGUGUCAGUGAAUGUUGUUGCAAUUGUGGACCAGGCCAGAGUUGUACUAAACCAACUAAGACACAAUGAGAUACAGGAAUGACACAAUGAGAAACAGGAAACAGGAAAGUGAUGAAUGAUCGCCACCUGUUACAAAUUCAUCUAGAAAACUCCCCACAUCCAACAAGAGACAGUCUGACUUCAAAAUCUUCAUUGAAGGCAACUUAAUGGACAAGACAUCCGUCACAUAAAGAUUCACUAAAAUUGGAAUGAUAUACCAAUUUUAACUUUUAACAGACAAAUACAUUAUAGAUUUGAAAAUAGAUCACCCUUAAAUAAGUUGGAUGAUUAACAUUUACCUCAACACAGUACAAAGUGCUCAUGUUGAACUAUUGUGAUUGAUCAUAGUCUGUCCUUCAUUUUUAUUAACAGUUUCAUACAGUGUUAACACUUUAGUAUGGGGACUCAUUUUUAGCUCAACUUUUCGAAGAAUAUGGAGAGCUAUACUACUCACCCAAACGUCGGCGUCACCCCUUGGUUAAGGGUUUGCGUGCAAGCACACAUAGGUUAAUAUCUCAGCAACUACUUGAGGCAUUGCAUUGAGACUUUAUACAAUGGUACUCAACCAUCCAACCUACUUAAUUAACCAAGUUUGAUAACUCUACUUUGCAUUUAAUGCCAAUAAUAGGCCUUUAAUAUUUGACUUAGAAAUUCUGGUUAAGGUUUUGCAUGCAAGCACACAUAGGUUAAUAUCUCAGCAACUACUUGAGGUAUUGCAUUGAGACUUGAUACAAUGGUACUCAACCAUCCAACCUACUUAUUUAAACAAGUAAGAUAACUCUAGUUUGCAUUUAAUGUAAAUAAUAGGCCUUUAUUAUUUGACUUAGAAAUUCUGGUUAAGGUUUUGCAUGCAAGCACACAUAGGUUAAUAUCUCAGCAACUGCUUGAGGUAUUGCAUUGAGACUUGAUACAAUGGUACUCAACCAUCCAACCUACUUAAUUUUCCAAGUUAUAUAACUACAGUUUGCAUUUAAUGCAAAUACUUGCCUUUAUUAUUUCACUCAGAAAUUCUGGUUAAGGUUUUGCAUGUAAGCACACAUACAUGUAGGUUAAUAUCUCAGCAACUACUGGAUGAAUUGCAUUGAGACUUUAUACAACCACCCAACCUAAUUGAAUAAUCAAGUUAGAUAAAAAUUCUGGUUAAAAUUUUGCAUGUAACCACAUUUAUGUUAAUAUCUCCGCAUGUAUUGCAUUGAAAUCUAAUCUAACAGUGAUCCAUGCAUGUUUCGCCAAAACUUUUCAAUCCUUACACUGAAAAGCAGCGGAAUAGUCGAGAGCGCUGUCUCUGUGACAGCUCUUGUCUCUUUGGUCUUUAUUUAUACUGGCCAGAAUAUGUUUACCAAAAAAAUCUUAGUAGAGAUUGAUAACUGUUCAGGUUGGACAAAAAGCAUGUAGGUUGUUUGUUCUAAUAAUAUAAACUGUAAAUGCUUCAGAAACUAUAUAUAUAAUUUUUCAUGAUAUUUGUCAGUAUUUAUUCUCGUCAACAUUUAAAUAAUAUUAGGUGAAACUUGUUUAUUGGUCAAAAUGUGUUUGAUUAGAGUGGCCUCAAGUUCCACUUCAUAUGAAUGAAAUUUGGUCAAGUUUUAGAAAAAAACUAUGUUCUAGUUUUAUAGGCCAUAUUCUCUUCCCAAGCUUUCCUUAAAGAAUGAAUGUAGGUAAUAUGAAACAGGAGUCACUAAGUCAAGUAUUAAAAACCUUAAAAGUUGCUAUUCAUAGAGGUAUUGUUUCCUCAUCAUAAAUCACAACUUAGCCAGCAAUACUUUUCAACAAAUAAGGCAUAACAUGUAAAAAGUUAAUACUUAGGCACAUAUUUUAGUGAAUAAAAGCUUGUGAACAUAUUAUUGAAACAAAUAAUGUGUCUGGUUCUGAGGGGAGCAAUAAAGCACAUUGCUUAGUAACAAUUGAGCUAGCUCAUUAUUAAAAGUUUGUUUUAAACUUGAAUUAAAUGAAUGCAAAUCAUAUAUUAUUAUUUUUAAUCUAUAUUUUUUUUUAGUUACCUUGUUCUGUUGUUAAUUUCCAUACUGACUUGGUCAAUUAUGGCUAAUUGUCUUAUUAUAUUUUAACUUCUAACCUAAAUGUUUCAUUGUACUUUUGAGUGUUCUGUUAACUAUAUUGCACAUUACCCUAUAUGACAGUAUAAAUUCAAUAAAACCAUGGUUAUUAAGUUCCAUACAUAUUGGAGCACAUGGUAAGCCUCUAGAAAUGUCACUUCUUAAACCUAGAUUCUUGAUCUGUUCGCCACAUUGUUUUGUUAAUUUUUUGUUUAUAAAAACAAAUGAUUGUUUAAUGUCAAGGAAACCUUUUUAAAGUUAAAAUGUAGAUGUACAUAGAUAACUGUCAAAUAUUAUUUACUAUUUAAUAACUGUCUAAAGGCAAAAUUUCCAUUCAUUUUUAGCUCACCUGUCACAUAGUGACAAGGUGAGCUUUUGUGAUCACAAUUUGUCCGGCGUCCGUCAGUCCGUCCGUCCGUAAACUUUUACUUUAAACGACAUCUCCUCAUAAACCGCUUAGCCAAUUUCAUCCAAAUUUAACAGGAAUGUUCCUUGGGUGGUCCCCCAAUUGUUGAAAAUUUUUCAAAGAAUUGAAUUCCAUGCAGAACUCUGGUUGCCAUGGCAACGGAAAGGAAAAACUUUAAAAAUCUUCUUCUCCAAAACCACAAGGCUCUACUAGAGCCUUAAUAUUUCGUAUAUAGCAUCAUCUAGUGGUCCUCUACCAAAAUUGUUAAAACUAUCCCCCUGGGGUCAAAAAUGGCCCCGCCCCAGGGGUCACUUGUUUUACAUAGACUUAUAUAGGGAAAAAUUUAAAAAUCUUCUUCUCAAAAAACACAAGGCCUAGAACCUUGAAAAUUUGUACAUGUGUAUGUGUCAUCAUGUAGUGGUCCUCUACAAAAUUUGUUCAAAUUAUUCUCCUGGGGUCAAAAAUGGCCCCGCCCCAGGGGUCACUAGUUUUAUUACAUAGUGUUAUAUAGUAAAUCUUUAAAAAUCUUCUUCUCCAAAACUGUAAGGCCCAGGGCUUAGAUAUUUGGUAUACAGCAUCAUCUAGUGGACCUCUACCAGAUUUUUUCAAAUUAUUGCCACAGGGUCAAAAUUGACCCCGCCUAGGGGAUCCUUGUUUUUACGUAGUGUUAUAUAGUAAGUCUUUAAAAAUAUUCUUCUCCAGAACCGUAAGGCCAGGAGCUUAGAUAUUUGGUGUACAACAUCAUCUUGUGAACCUCUAUCAAAGUUGUUCAAAUUAUUGCCACAGGGUCAAAAUUGGCCCCGCCCUGAAAGUUAUUUGUUUUUAUAUACAAAUGUAGUCUUAUAUAAUAAAACUUUAAAAAUCCUCUUCUCCAAAAUAUAAGACCUAGAGCUUUCAUAUUUGGUAUAUAGUGUUACCUAGUGGACCUACACCAAAGGUAUUCAAAUUAUUGUCCCGGGGUCAAAUUGGCCUUGCUCAGGGGUCAUUUGUUUUUACAUUGUCUUGUCACUUAAAAUCUUUUCCUCUGAAAGUAAAGGUCAGAAUGACUCCAUACUUGAUAUGUAGCAGCCUUACAUGGUCCUCUCUCAACUUUGUUCAAAUGGUUUUGUUUGGCCCCUUUUAGGGGUCACCAGAGCAAAAAAUAGAAAAACCUUUAAACAACUUGAUCUUAUUAACUGCUUGAUGGAUCUUCAAGUCUGAAGCAUCCUAGCAUGGGCCUCUGUCAGGUCUUUUCAAAUAAUUUUGUUUGGCCCCUUUUAAGGGCCACCAGAGCUAAAAUUAGUAAAAAAAACUUAACAUUUUCUUCGCAUGAACCCCUUGAUAGAUCUUCAGCAAAUUUGGUUUGAAGUGUCCUUGCAUGGACCUCUCUUAAAUUUGUUCAAAUAAUUUUGUUUGGCCCGGUUGACAUGGCAACCUAAAGGAAAAUGUCAACAAUUGGUUACAAUCAUCUUCUUCUCCUAAACCCCUUGGACAAUUUUGAUGAAACUUCAUAGGAAUGAUCCUUGGUUGGUGCUUUUUCAAAAUUGUUCAAUGUCGUGUCCGCCCUGUGACUUUCUCUUAUAUGGACAGAUUUUAAAAUGACUUGCCAUAUGUUUUCGACAUACCAAGACAACGUGUCGUGUGCAAGACCCAUGUCCCUACCUCUAAGGUGAAAGAUACACUAAGUGUUUAUUCACAAUGGAAUGCUGAAUAUGGGGACAUAAAGAGUGUUGGCUGUCAUUUAGUAUGAUUGGGGUUUUUUCUAUGCGCAGAGGCAAUUUAAUAUAACUUGCAAUAUGUAUUUGACACAUAAAGGCAAGAUCAACUUUUUAUGUACUUGUUCAUAGAUCAAUGUCACAUUGGGGGUCAUUUGUCACAUACUUUGACAGCUCUUGUUCAAUAUUCUUUGAGAAACAAGCUAUGUUAAACUCUUUUACUCAGGUGAGCGAUUUAGGGCCAUCAUGGCCCUCUUGUUAUAUUUGAUUUGGGUCCCUAGGGUCAUGGUCACUGUAACUACAAAUAGAAAAAUGCUUGGUACUGAAUAACUUCAGUUUUAAUACAUUUAAAACUGAAUCUCACAAUAAAGGCUGAAGUUCUUGUUGCAUUGCAGCAUUUCUAGUUAACUUUUUAAUUUGACUCUUUUUAUUGCUUUCGACAGGCACAUAUUACAUCAUUAUUGUAUUCAUUUUUAAGACAAAGCCUCAUUUACUUGAGCGUGCUGUCCAAAGACAGCUCUUGUUGACAUAAUUAUAAGACACCUUAUGUUAUGGUUUAUAUGAACAAUAGCUGUUUCUGUGUAUGUUUUAGAAGAAACUUCCAUUUCUUAUCAUAUUGAUGGACAUAGAUAUACAUACAUGUACGGGAUUAUUGACAUCAGAUUCUUAGGAUUAAAUUUACUAAUGUUCUGUUCAUGUUCAAAAUAGAUACAGUUAUGGUAAA